UUGCUUUUCUGAAUCUAGUGGCGAACGGGUGAGUAACACGUAGGUAACCUGCCCAUGGUGCCCGGGAUAACUUCUGGAAACGGAUGCUAAAACCGGAUAGGUAGCAGACAAGCAUUUUGACUGCUAUUAAAGGUGGCCUUUGGCCAUGAACAUGGAUGGACCUGCGGUGCAUUAGCUGGUUGGUGAGGUAACGGCCCACCAAGGCGACGAUGCAUAGCCGGCCUGAGAGGGCGGACGGCCACAUUGGGACUGAGACACGGCCCAAACUCC
RNAcentral lists this ribosomal RNA (270 nucleotides) under uncultured bacterium. Its description in RNAcentral is "partial 16S ribosomal RNA". It matches the Rfam family "Bacterial small subunit ribosomal RNA", at positions 78 to 339 of the family's 1533-position model. The record is from RNAcentral.